AAGGCGGAUGAACAAGGAGGAGACCACCGUCGGAGGGGAGCUAGGAGGGGUCUGAAGCGGUCGUCUCUUUCGAGUGCAAAGACGAGUCUGCGGUGGAUGCUGGGUUGCAGCUCAGGUCGAUGGUGCGGCCAUGGAAACAACCUCCUCAACCUCGACAACCAAUGCGUCGGCAGGGGAGCAACUAAUUCCUGAACCUUUGCUUCUCCUCUUUUAAUUCGAAGUUCUUAGUUUAGUUCCAGAUUUCUAUGCAUGUAAACCUUGUUAUGAUUAGUUAGGUUAGUUUAGUGCUGGGGCUCAUCCUUUAGUCCUUUACCCAAUGUCUGAUUUGUUGGCUGUUUUGGUUUGGUUGCCGUCGGAUGUUAAUGGAGUUACGGUGGAUUUGCUCGACUUGUGGUAUGCAUGGUUAACAAACAACUAAUCCUGCUCUUUUGAUGUGUUUCUUUGGGUUCUCAUCUAUAUGUAUCUCUUCUGAUGUGUGUGCCUCUUACAUAGAUGCGCGAGCAUAGGGAAAAAGUGUAAAAGUAGACUCAUCACACUCACGCUCUCGCUGCGCCAUGGCUCCUUCGUCUUCAAGGAUUGUGUCAGUGGCUUCGUGUCCUUGUGCUGCCGCCGUCCUAUAGACUGGUUAGGGGGUUGCUUUCCUCUUUGAUGUGUGUCUGACUAUGUGAUAAUAUUCAGUUUUCUUGUGGCCGCACUAUGUGAUAAUAUUCAGUUUUCUUGUGGCAGCAUUUCGGAAAUAUGUUUUGUUCUAAUUGUUGUACCAAAAUAGAGUUAGCAUAUUUUAGUUUGAUAUGUAUGGUUUCUUAGGUCUUUUGGGGUGAUUGGUGUUCUGUUCUUACCUUUACGGUUGGGUUUUGGGUGUUCUGUUGUUACUUGAAGAUUCAGAAUGAUGUUGGAAUUAUGCAGGAGAGGUUGAAUCAAGGCAACCAUCUAUAUAUCAGUAAGGCCUGAAUCAACCAGAAUUUGGCCAUUCAAUGAUUUGCGUUCUUAGCCCCAAAGGAUCAUAAUUCCAAAAAGUGACCAAGAAGAGCAUAAGAGGGACAAGCUAAGCAAAGGAGUUAAUCCUGAGUGCAAUGUUCACUGUUUGUCAAACCAGAUUAAGUUUGUGAUGUUGCCAAAUUUACUAUGCACUCUCGAGAUUCUCUUCACAUUUGUUGAUUCACCAAAAAAAUCCGUAGAAAGGUAGGAAAGAUUUACUAGGUGGUUAAAUUUAUAGAGUUAAUUCAUUCGAUUCAACAACAUUAAGACAUCGUAGUUGAUUGCAAAAUACAAGUCACUCUCAAUUUUAUAUUCUUUCAGAUUGUUCAGGCUACAUGUCUUAAGUUAUUUCAAGAAAAAGUUCCCCAAAAUUUGGGAGUUGCGCCAAAAGUUUCAUAUAUGUCCUUUGAUUUCUGAGGUAGUGCCAGAUGGUAAACUGUUGGUGAUGUCCUGUUGUAGACUGAAUCUCCUUUUGGCAAUUUGUCCUGUUAAGAAAAGCAAUUGAAAACUGAAAAUGUCAUUCCUACCUACACCAUUUGCAUCUCUUUUUGGGGAGGUGUCAUGGAAGACAGUAACCUACUUCUAAUUUGCUCAAUUCUUUUCAACAUUCACUUUUUUAUUUUUGUAUUGUGUGCAAGUGUAUCCCUAUGCACUCUUUAUUUCUGGGAUUUCUAAAGGGAAUUUCAGCAACAAUCAAGAACGAGGGUCUGGCUGUGCAGAAACAUCAGGAGGAGAACAGCAACGGCCACCGGGUGUCUGGAAAGAUAAUAAAGGGCAGUAAGGUUUCCAGAAGAAUUGUACCCCAUCGGACCCGGAGCAAGCGCCGAGCUGCUACAGGGUAGCAAUGAGACUUGAAGGCAUCUAUCGUCCCAGCUUUCAGAAUGGAGAAACUAGUGAGUUUCAUAUAUGAUCUGAAUGAAAUGUUUAGUACUUGCGGCAGUGGACUUUGCUACUGAUCAUUCGGUGGUGGUGACCCAUAUGAUGGCGAUUCGCUCCGGCCAUUCCAGUUUUGGCGGUGGUGGUGCUGCUGCUCCUAUGAUGGUAGACUCGUCUGAUUCCCCUAGCCGCAUCCAUGGUGAUGAAGCUCGGCCUAGGCUAGAACCCCCUCCGAUUUGCUUAAGAUCACGGAAGCUUGGGUUGAUGAAGUGCUUGUAUU
Molecule: long non-coding RNA, 2134 nt
Organism: Triticum aestivum (bread wheat)
Lineage: Eukaryota; Viridiplantae; Streptophyta; Magnoliopsida; Poales; Poaceae
Exons: 5
Source: RefSeq, a predicted model, not a curated record